UGNGACAGUGGACCUAGUUGGGGUGCUGAG
Molecule: non-coding RNA, 30 nt
Filed under: Mus musculus (house mouse)
Lineage: Eukaryota; Metazoa; Chordata; Mammalia; Rodentia; Muridae
Source: RNAcentral